Molecule: long non-coding RNA, 1366 nt
Organism: Bos indicus x Bos taurus (hybrid cattle)
Lineage: Eukaryota; Metazoa; Chordata; Mammalia; Artiodactyla; Bovidae
Source: Ensembl
CAAACAUGCUCAGGCUCCAGGUGUCUUUGGUUUCAAAGAGUAAGAGUGAAGAGGGAGGAGUGCACUCCCAGAGCACAAGCUGUCCCUGUUCCAGCGCUGGUUGACACCCAUUGCAACCACCUACCCUGAGGUGCUGUAAUCCUCAUCAUAAGCCAGUUUCCUGAAAGUCAAAACCUGGAGAUCAUCUCAAAUCAAAGGCAAUCUUUAAAGGGACUCAGGAAGCAACACAGGCAUUUUUCAAAAAGAUGAUGACCUAGUUCUGGAAAUCACCUCCUUCGUUCAGUCAGAAGUUUACCAAGACGGCUGAGCACAUGCACGAUAUGAAGAUUGAUCCAUGGACUCAGCUUGAGACACGUGUCUUGCUUUAUGAAGGUGAUCAUGAUAUAUUGGGGAAAAUAAGGGGGUUGUAAUCAAAUGUGUGUUGUUAUUCUGACUUUACCCCUUGUUAGCUGUGUAACCUUAGGACAAGUCCAUGGACUUUGCUGAGAUCCAGUUUAUGUAUCUGUGUAAUUCAAGAUAUCGAUCUUGCAAGAUGUGACGUUAAUAUAUGUAAAAUUCUUGACAAAAUAUGGCUUAAGGAAUACUGGGGCACGUUGAGAAGCAGAGUGAGUUUUUAGAGAUUUUUAUAUGGCAGUCAUCAUGCUUAUGUGUCCCUAUUUUCUAUAACCUUCCAUCUUCAGCUUCCCUAGGAUGUCUGGGGUUGGAAGCUAGGCUAGCCCAGACUGUCACUGAGGAGAGCAGAGCUGGAGCUCUCAUUCUGAAAGGUCAGUCUGGAACGCCUAGAGCCUUAUUGAGGACAACAGCUGUAGCUGCAAAUCCACACAGCAAGGCAAAGCAACUGUACCAUGAUUAAGGAUCGGAACCCAAAGGAGUGAAGCAAGGCGGAUGAAGAAAAAGGAUAAGGAGGGAGAAGCAAGAUGGUUUCAGUGUUCAAGAUGGAGUUUUCAAACAAGAAUUAAAGCAGGAAUGUACUCAAAUUUUUGUCCUUUUGGUGCAUCAAAUAUGCAUUCAAGGCUGCCCUGGUGGCUCAGUGGUAAAGAAUCCGCCUGCCAAUGCAGGAGACAGGGGUUCCAUCCCCUGAUCCAGGAAGAUCCCACAUGCUGUGGAGCAACAAAGCCCGUGUGCUACAAGUGAGUCCACACUCUGGAGCCCAGGAACUGCAAAUACUGAGCCCACGUGCCGCAACCACUGAAGCCACAUGCCCUGGAGCCUGUGCUCUGCAAGAGAAGCCACUGCAAUGAGAAGCCCGAGCACCGCAACUAGAGAGCAGCCCCCGCUAGCCACAAGUAGAAAAAAGCCCAUGCAGCAACGAAGACCCAGCACAGCCCAAAAGAAAGAAUCAAAUAAAUAAAAUUAUAUAAAAUCA